AAAAAAAAAAAAAAAAAGGAUUCAGCUAUUAUAAAUUCAUUUUUAUAUAAAAAUAGUCAUGCAUGAUGUAAUUAUAAUUGUACUCAAAAAACUUUUCUGAAUGUUUGCUACUAAUAUAAUAAUUUUUUAUUUGUUAUUAUACUCUAUGAAACUUUUACGUGUAUCUAUUCAUUGCAAGAUUCUAUGGCCUAAGCAGUGAAAUCAAGUGGUGCUUGUACAACAUUUGAAAGGAAUUGCAGAGCUUUGGCAUUCAGCAACAGAAAGGGCAAGAGAAAAAGAAACAACUUUAUGACUUCGUUGAGGAUUAAGUGAAAUUCUGCAUUUUUACAAAAAAAAUUUUGCUUCAUUAGGAAAUUUAGGCAAGUACAGUUGAGCAAUUACAGUACAGGACAAAGUUCCAUAUUUCAUCAUUUGUUACAUAGCAUGGAAAAGCAAUUCAAUCUUACACUAGAUUGAGAAAUAUGAAAGCAAAUUCAAGAUGACACACACCCACUGCACUGUCUAAAUCUUGUGAAUUCUAGUCACUAACCAGAACCACACAUACCAUAAGACAAUAACAAGGAUCAGAAUUCACCAUUAGUUUUAGAUCAAUAACAUCCGACCAACACACCAUAAAGUAUCAUAUAUCUAAUCAACUGAUGCCAAUAACAACAAGACAUCAAGGUCAGGGUUAACAAAGGAAGAAACAAGAGCCCAAAGUGAAAUUCUCCUAAGGAGAGAAUUACAACAUGACACUAGAAAAACUCCAAAUUACCCAUAUAUCAUAGCUUUUAUGCAGAGCAUAAACCAAAGUAUUUUGUAUUUGACAUUUUCCACAUAUAAGAGUUAAAGCCGAUCACUUAGCAAGUAUAUUUUGCUGAGCUUGAUUCUCCUGCUGCUGUUGAUAGUUCAAGGGCCUCCUGAAGAGCAUGAUAUGUGGCUCAGGGCGAUGAAUUGCAUAGUGGACCCAACCACGGCUCUGCUGUACGCCUAUAGCACGCCAUUCAUUUUCAGCGAGAAGCCGAUUCUUUGGGAGAAGCUUUGCCACUUCAGGAGGGAGCACCACAUGCCUGUACUCAUAAGUGUCAUCGAAAUACUUUUCGGAGUACUGGAUCUGACCCAUUUUCUACUCUACUAGGGCUUUUAGUGCCAAUCAAACUCCACUUUCAAAACAGUUGUUCGAGUUUCUUCAAGGUUUUUAUGAUUGAUCUGUGAAAAAUGAAACAAACAUCAAAGAAUAAACAGAAAUGAAGAUCAAAAGAUUCGAAGAAAGUGGAUCGAUCAGUAAAGGAUGAACCGCAGGGGGAAUUUCAUACCUGAGAGAUAG
RNAcentral lists this unclassified non-coding RNA (1306 nucleotides) under Hevea brasiliensis (rubber tree). The record is from RNAcentral. Lineage: Eukaryota; Viridiplantae; Streptophyta; Magnoliopsida; Malpighiales; Euphorbiaceae.